AGCGAACGCUGGCGGCAGGCCUAACACAUGCAAGUCGAACGGAUCCUUCGGGAUUAGUGGCGGACGGGUGAGUAACACGUGGGAACGUGCCCUUUGGUUCGGAACAACUCAGGGAAACUUGAGCUAAUACCGGAUGUGCCCUUCGGGGGAAGAUUUAUCGCCAUUGGAGCGGCCCGCGUCUGAUUAGCUAGUUGGUGGGGUAAAGGCCCACCAAGGCGACGAUCAGUAGCUGGUCUGAGAGGAUGAUCAGCCACAUUGGGACUGAGACACGGCCCAAACUCCUACGGGAGGCAGCAGUGGGGAAUCUUGCGCAAUGGGCAAAAGCCUGACGCAGCCAUGCCGCGUGAAUGAUGAAGGUCUUAGG
Molecule: ribosomal RNA, 364 nt
Filed under: uncultured bacterium
Lineage: Bacteria
Description: bacterial SSU rRNA
Rfam family: Bacterial small subunit ribosomal RNA
Source: RNAcentral